Molecule: long non-coding RNA, 463 nt
Organism: Ipomoea nil (Japanese morning glory)
Lineage: Eukaryota; Viridiplantae; Streptophyta; Magnoliopsida; Solanales; Convolvulaceae
Exons: 2
Source: RefSeq, a predicted model, not a curated record
UAGUGCAGUCUUCACUACCUUAAGCUGACGGUUGUUUUAGCUUAUUUUAAACUGUUUCCACUUUGCAAUACUGUUUUAGCUUAUUUUAAACUGUUUUCUAGCUUAAGUACAUCAAGUUAUCCCCAUUUUAAUCCCUGCUUCAUGCAAGGGAACAUUUGAAAUAAAUGCAUUGCAAUAGUUCUUUGACUGUUCAAAAAUAGGCACAAACCCAAAGGAAAUAAGAUAAUUAACAGCCAAACAAAAAAUACGCAAACAAAUGAAUUAUCAUCCAACUCUUCUCUCCAGUGAAAUUGUAUAGAGAUUGCAUAGCCUUCCGCAAAUUUAUUUUCCACAUACAAAGGAAAUUUUGACCAAAUCUUUUGAUCACUUCACGGAAAACCAAAGGGCACAAUAGUGUUACAGAUCAAAUAAUAGAUAAUUCAAACAAAUCAAUACAUAACCUCACGAUAGUCACAACACAACA